Molecule: ribosomal RNA, 254 nt
Filed under: uncultured bacterium
Lineage: Bacteria
Description: partial 16S ribosomal RNA
Rfam family: Bacterial small subunit ribosomal RNA
Source: RNAcentral
UACGUAGGGGGCGAGCGUUGUCCGAAGUUACUGGGCGUAAAGCGCGCGUAGGCGGCUUUUUAAGUUUGAGGUGAAAGGUUCAGCGCUCAACGUGAACAGUGCCUUGAAUACUGGAAAGCUUGAAUCUGGCAGAGGGGGGUAGAAUUCCACGUGUAGCAGUGAAAUGCGUAGAGAUGUGGAGGAACACCGAUGGCGAAGGCAGCCCCCUGGGUCAAGAUUGACGCUCAUGCACGAAAGCGUGGGGAGCAAACAGG